AUUGAUUUCACUCUUAUUUGCUUUUAACAAGGGUCUCAAAGUUAAAUCCAGUACAAUGCUUUUGACAGUUUCAAUUCUGGAUUUUUUAAGAAUUUUCAGGAAACUUAAGUUAGAAAUUAUUUAUUGAUUGUGAUACCUUAGGUGGCUGCUCAAUGUGGUGUUUUAGCAUGGUAUAGAUAUCAUCCCGAAGAUAUUGGAUGUCUUUACAAAAACACAUGAUGUUUUUAGCGCAUACCGAAGAUUAAAAUUGCUCCGAUGGUUGGAACUAGUAUGUAGAUAUUAAGUUUUGAUCUUUGUUUUGUUUCUUCUCCCUUGUGAUAGAGCAUGACUUCAAGGCUUUGUUAAAUUGAAAUGGUCAAAAUUACAAUGACAUCCACGUGGUCAAUACAUUGACA
Molecule: RNA transcript, 395 nt
Organism: Arabidopsis thaliana (thale cress)
Lineage: Eukaryota; Viridiplantae; Streptophyta; Magnoliopsida; Brassicales; Brassicaceae
Exons: 2
Source: RefSeq